RNAcentral lists this ribosomal RNA (972 nucleotides) under Triticum aestivum (bread wheat). Its description in RNAcentral is "partial small subunit ribosomal RNA". Lineage: Eukaryota; Viridiplantae; Streptophyta; Magnoliopsida; Poales; Poaceae. The record is from RNAcentral.
AUGUGUUAUGCUGCUGCAGAAGCUCAUAAUUCACUUCCUCGGCUAGGCCAGGACUGCCUUUCCUUGCAGCGGACGCGUUUGGACUCCUGCUCGGAUCCACUUCGCCCACCGUCCGUCUAUAUAAGGCGGCACCAAGCGGCGGCCUCCGCACCGCGUCCACCUUCUCCCUUCCGGCCUCUCGCCACCGCCACGCGCCAUCAGUUCCAUCCCGCAAGAAGCCAUCCAUCGGAGGCGAGGCGAUCCAUCCAAGCUUGGGGGGUGAUGAUGCCGACGUCGUUCUUCCAGGGCAACGACGCCGGCGCCUGCGACGGCGACGGCUCGCCGCACGGGGUCAAGAAGAUGUGGACCAAGGAGGAGGACGACCUGCUGCGGGAGCAGGUGCGGCGCUGUGGCGGCCCGCACAACUGGGACUCCAUCUGCCGAGGCCUGCCCGGCCGCAACUCCAAGUCGUGCCGCCUCCGCUGGUGCCAGCACCUCGACCCCAGGGUGGAGGCCGUCAAGCCCUUCACCGUCGAGGAGGACAUGCUCAUCGUCAAGUACCAGGCCGCCUACGGCAACCGCUGGUCCACCAUCGCCGAGUUCCUCUCCGGCCGCACCGACAACGCCGUCAAGAACCGCUGGAACUCCGUCCUCCGCAAGCGCCAGGAGCACGCCCCCUCCCAGCAGGGCCAGACGCGCCCGUGGGCUCCUUCCGCCGCCCGGCAGGCCGCGGGCCCCGGGGUCACGCCGCGGUGCCUGCCGCUGUUCCCUGAUUCGGCCGAGGAGGUGCCGGAGGCUGACACAUCUGCGGCGGCGAGGAAGUGCCUCGACCUGUUCCCUCUGGCGCCCGGGGAUAUCAGGGCCAACGCGGCUGCUGUGGCGCCGCCCGGUGACAUGACUUGCGGAGCAGGCGACCCGCUCACCGAGCUGAGGCUCUGGCCGGCGCCGAGGGUGGUGUUCGACGUAAUGCCGCUCCAGGCCUACCGGAUGUAG